CGGGGUGUGGCGCAGACUGGUUUAGCGCGUAGCGUUCGGGACGCUAAGGUCGCUGGUUCAAAUCCAGUCACCCCGA
This 76-nucleotide transfer RNA is filed under the name bacterium. RNAcentral's name for it is "tRNA-Pro". It matches the Rfam family "tRNA". Rfam says of the family: Transfer RNA (tRNA) molecules are approximately 80 nucleotides in length. Their secondary structure includes four short double-helical elements and three loops (D, anti-codon, and T loops). The record is from RNAcentral.